Molecule: ribosomal RNA, 465 nt
Filed under: uncultured bacterium
Lineage: Bacteria
Description: partial 16S ribosomal RNA
Rfam family: Bacterial small subunit ribosomal RNA
Source: RNAcentral
CCUACGGGGGGCAGCAGUGGGGAAUAUUGCGCAAUGGGCGAAAGCCUGACGCAGCGACGCCGCGUGAGGGAUGAAGGUCUUCGGAUCGUAAACCUCUGUCAGCAGGGAAGAACGGUCACUGUGCUAAUCAGCAGUGAAUUGACGGUACCUGCAAAGGAAGCACCGGCUAACUCCGUGCCAGCAGCCGCGGUAAUACGGAGGGUGCGAGCGUUAAUCGGAAUUACUGGGCGUAAAGCUCUCGUAGGCGGUAUGUCAAGUACAGGGUGAAAUCCCCGCGCUCAACGUGGGAACUGCCUUUGAAACUGGCAAACUGGAGUGUGUGAGAGGAUAGUGGAAUUCCAGGUGUAGGAGUGAAAUCCGUAGAUAUCUGGAGGAACAUCAGUGGCGAAGGCGACUAGCUGGAACAUAACUGACGCUGAGGAGCGAAAGCGUGGGUAGCAAACAGGAUUAGAUACCCUAGUAGUC